This 229-nucleotide small RNA is filed under the name Pan troglodytes (chimpanzee). Its description in RNAcentral is "processed transcript". Lineage: Eukaryota; Metazoa; Chordata; Mammalia; Primates; Hominidae. The record is from RNAcentral.
CUCCCACUCAGCACGCAUAUUUUCUGGUCUGCUCAUCUGGCAUGGAAUCUUAUCUUUAGGCUUUACAUUCAGCCCAUGAUGGGGGCCGGCCUGAAUUAUGAAUGUUACCGAUUCGGCAUUUCCCCAUCCACAAACGCGCUGGUGAUCGGUGCCACGGUGAUGGAGGGCUUCUAUGUCAUCUUCGACAGAGCCCAGAAGAGGGUGGGCUUCGCAGCGAGCCCCUGUGCAG